RNAcentral lists this transfer RNA (73 nucleotides) under Thermoprotei archaeon. Its description in RNAcentral is "tRNA-His". It matches the Rfam family "tRNA". From Rfam's summary of the family: Transfer RNA (tRNA) molecules are approximately 80 nucleotides in length. RNAcentral also lists the same sequence under 1 other name. Lineage: Archaea; Thermoproteati; Thermoproteota; Thermoprotei. The record is from RNAcentral.
GUCCGGGUGGUGUAGCGGUUAACACAUCGGCCUGUGGAGCCGAAGAUCCCGGGUUCGAAUCCCGGCCCGGACC